GACGAACGCUGGCGGCGUGCCUAAUACAUGCAAGUAGAACGCUGAAGAGAGGAGCUUGCUCUUCUUGGAUGAGUUGCGAACGGGUGAGUAACGCGUAGGUAACCUGCCUUGUAGCGGGGGAUAACUAUUGGAAACGAUAGCUAAUACCGCAUAACAAUGGAUGACACAUGUCAUUUAUUUGAGAGGGGCAAUUGCUCCACUACAAGAUGGACCUGCGUUGUAUUAGCUAGUAGGUGAGGUAAUGGCUCACCUAGGCGACGAUACAUAGCCGACCUGAGAGGGUGAUCGGGCCACACUGGGACUGAGACACGGGUCCAAACUCCUAACGGGAGGCAGCAGUGGGGAAUAUUGCACAAAUGGGCGAAAGCCUGAUGCAGC
Molecule: ribosomal RNA, 378 nt
Filed under: uncultured bacterium
Lineage: Bacteria
Description: bacterial SSU rRNA
Rfam family: Bacterial small subunit ribosomal RNA
Source: RNAcentral